This 201-nucleotide long non-coding RNA is filed under the name Mytilus galloprovincialis (Mediterranean mussel). Lineage: Eukaryota; Metazoa; Mollusca; Bivalvia; Mytilida; Mytilidae. The record is from RNAcentral.
UAAAAGAGGGACGAAAGAUACCAAAGGGACAGUCAAACUCAUAAAUCUAAAACAAACUGACAACGCCAUGGCUAAAAAUGAAAAAGACAAACAAACAACAGCACACAUGACACAACAUAGAAAACUAAGAAUAAACAACACGAACCCCACCAAAAAACUAGGGGUGAUCUCAGGUGCUCCGGAAGGGUAAGCAGAUCCUGC